RNAcentral lists this ribosomal RNA (559 nucleotides) under uncultured bacterium. RNAcentral's name for it is "partial 16S ribosomal RNA". It matches the Rfam family "Bacterial small subunit ribosomal RNA", at positions 355 to 914 of the family's 1533-position model. The record is from RNAcentral.
UGAGGAAUAUUGGUCAAUGGGCGAGAGCCUGAACCAGCCAAAUCGCGUGAAGGAAGACUGCCUUAUGGGUUGUAAACUUCUUUUAUACAGGAAUAAAAAACGGGGACGUGUCCCUUAUUGCAUGUACUGUAUGAAUAAGCAUCGGCUAACUCCGUGCCAGCAGCCGCGGUAAUACGGAGGAUGCGAGCGUUAUCCGGAUUUAUUGGGUUUAAAGGGUGCGCAGGCGGGCUUUUAAGUCAGCGGUGAAAUCUCGGGGCUUAACUCCGAAACUGCCGUUGAAACUGGGAGUCUUGAGUAUGGAUGAAGUAGGCGGAAUUCGUUGUGUAGCGGUGACAUGCUUAGAUAUAACGAGGAACUCCGAUUGCGUAGGCAGCUUACUAAGCCGUAACUGACGCUCAAGCACGAAGCGUGGGGAUCAAACAGAUUAGAUACCCUGGUAGUCCACGCCGUAAAACGUGAUUACUAGUUGUAUGCGAUAUACCGUAUGUGACUAAGCGAAAGCGAUAAGUAAUCCACCUGGGGGAGUACGCCGGCAACGGUGAAACUCAAAUGAAUUGAC